This 495-nucleotide ribosomal RNA is filed under the name uncultured bacterium. Its description in RNAcentral is "partial 16S ribosomal RNA". It matches the Rfam family "Bacterial small subunit ribosomal RNA", at positions 28 to 507 of the family's 1533-position model. The record is from RNAcentral.
GACGAACGCUGGCGGCGUGCCUAAUACAUGCAAGUAGAACGCUGAAGGAGGAGCUUGCUUCUCUGGAUGAGUUGCGAACGGGUGAGUAACGCGUAGGUAACCUGCCUGGUAGCGGGGGAUAACUAUUGGAAACGAUAGCUAAUACCGCAUAAGAGUAGAUGUUGCAUGACAUUUGCUUAAAAGGUGCAAUUGCAUCACUACCAGAUGGACCUGCGUUGUAUUAGCUAGUUGGUGAGGUAACGGCUCACCAAGGCAACGAUACAUAGCCGACCUGAGAGGGUGGUCGGCCACACUGGGACUGAGACACGGCCCAGACUCCUACGGGAGGCAGCAGUAGGGAAUCUUCGGCAAUGGACGGAAGUCUGACCGAGCAACGCCGCGUGAGUGAAGAAGGUUUUCGGAUCGUAAAGCUCUGUUGUAAGAGAAGAACGAGUGUGAGAGUGGAAAGUUCACACUGUGACGGUAUCUUACCAGAAAGGGACGGCUAACUACGUG